GUAUACAAAACAGCACAGCUGUGAGGAGGCUGCUCUGCUUUAUGUGACUGAAAAGCAGCCUGGUUAGCUCAAGGCUGUGGAAUCAGAGCCCAUUGUGUGUUCCUCAUACUUGGAGACUUCCCUGAAGUCCCUAGAAGUCCUGUGAAGAAGGAAUCAAGGGUCAAGUCUUUAAAAUGGAAACACAACAAGCUUUGACAGAAUUCAGAGGACUGGAAGACUUUGUCUGAAAGCUCAAACUGAAUUUGAAAAAUGUUACUGUAGUCCUCCUCUGGCAUUGUGACCUGGAUGCCUGCUGGCCCUGCUCUGCAAGGCUGAGGCUGCAUUCCACCUUUGACAUUUUGCCAUGAUCUUUCCAGUUUGAAGGGAGUGCUGGAAGUGGGGAAUCCCUCAAAGUGAUCUGUCAUCAGAAUUCUCAUUUAAAUGCAUUUUACUGUGUUCAGAAUAUUAAUUCCCACUGGACUCAACUCGCUUGGAAGUAAGAAUUUGCAACAACUAUGUCUUAAAUACUACUGUGAAACCUUUAGUGUAUUCUUCCAAAAUUGGUGCGGAGAACAUUAGUGUGAGACUCCUGCAAAAUCCACUGGACCUUGUAUCAUGACAAGAAGAGAAAACAAAGCAACUAUUAAAAAUCAGGGAGGAAAAUUGUUAGCAUGAUCUGCAUUAGUUUCAGUAUGUAUUUUAUUCUGUCAUUAGUUCAGUGUCAAAAUUCAGUUUGUAGCCAGCAGCUACCACCAACUGGCAGCAUGUGGCAUUUCUUAAGCAAAAGUUAAUUGUUAUUCUUUAAUGCUUGUUUUGUAUUGUAGCAGCUUUGCAGAAAUACCUUUCUAGAUAUUCUUAACUUUGUUUUUAUGAUAGUUUAACUUAGUUCAUGACUGCUAAGUAAUGCUAUGCUGUUUAAGUCUUCACAGGCAUUAAUGAUCAAAUCUGUAAAGGAGCAUGCUCUUAGUAAAACAGCAGGAUUGUUGUUUUUUUAUAUAUUUUUAAUAAAUUCUUCAGAAUUUUUAUGAUUUCCUGAAAAUAGAUAUAUUUAGUUUACUCCUGUGUGCUUAAAUUUACCUGGGUGUGAUAUUGACCAAAAUAGGUGGGGUCUCUUCUA
Molecule: long non-coding RNA, 1096 nt
Filed under: Catharus ustulatus (Swainson's thrush)
Lineage: Eukaryota; Metazoa; Chordata; Aves; Passeriformes; Turdidae
Description: lncRNA (ENSCUSG00005004570.1)
Source: RNAcentral